RNAcentral lists this ribosomal RNA (116 nucleotides) under Pteropus alecto (black flying fox). Lineage: Eukaryota; Metazoa; Chordata; Mammalia; Chiroptera; Pteropodidae. The record is from RNAcentral.
GUCUAUGGCCAUGCUACCCUGAACAAGCCCAAUGUCUGAUCUCGGAAGCUAAGCAGGGUCAGGCCUGGUUAGUACUUGGACGGGAGACCACCUAGGAAGACCAGGUGCUGUAGGCA